UGCAAGUCGGGCGGCAGCGGGGGCUUCGGCCUGCCGGCGAGCGGCGGACGGGUGAGUAACGCGUAGGAAUCUGCCCACGGGUGGGGGACAACCCGGCGAAAGCCGGGCUAAUACCGCAUAAGCCCUUCGGGGGAAAGCGGGGGACCUUCGGGCCUCGCGCCGGUGGAUGAGCCUGCGUGGGAUUAGCUAGUUGGCGGGGUAAGGGCCCACCAAGGCGACGAUCCCUAGCUGGUCUGAGAGGACGGCCAGCCACACUGGGACUGAGACACGGCCCAGACUCCUACGGGAGGCAGCAGUGGGGAAUAUUGGACAAUGGGCGCAAGCCUGAUCCAGCAAUGCCGCGUGUGUGAAGAAGGCCUGCGGGUUGUAAAGCACUUUGAGCGGGGAGGAAGGCCCUGGGGCUAACACCCUUGGGGAUUGACGUCACCCGCAGAACAAGCACCGGCUAACUCCGUGCCAGCAGCCGCGGUAAUACGGAGGGUGCGAGCGUUAAUCGGAAUUACUGGGCGUAAAGCGCGCGUAGGCGGCCCGGCCAGUCCGACGUGAAAGCCCCGGGCUCAACCUGGGAACUGCGUUGGAAACUGCCGGGCUGGAGUGUGGGAGAGGGCGGUGGAAUUUCCGGUGUAGCAGUGAAAUGCGUAGAGAUCGGAAGGAACACCAGUGGCGAAGGCGGCCGCCUGGACCAACACUGACGCUGAGGCGCGAAAGCGUGGGGAGCAAACAGGAUUAGAUACCCUGUAGUCCACGCCGUAAACGAUGCGGACUAGCCGUCGGGGGCGAUCGGGCCUCGGGCCAGCUAACGCGGU
This 806-nucleotide ribosomal RNA is filed under the name uncultured Gammaproteobacteria bacterium. RNAcentral describes it as "bacterial SSU rRNA". It matches the Rfam family "Bacterial small subunit ribosomal RNA", at positions 56 to 861 of the family's 1533-position model. The record is from RNAcentral. Lineage: Bacteria; Pseudomonadati; Pseudomonadota; Gammaproteobacteria.